This 459-nucleotide ribosomal RNA is filed under the name uncultured bacterium. Its description in RNAcentral is "partial 16S ribosomal RNA". It matches the Rfam family "Bacterial small subunit ribosomal RNA", at positions 338 to 795 of the family's 1533-position model. The record is from RNAcentral.
CCUACGGGUGGCAGCAGUGAGGAAUAUUGGUCAAUGGCCGAGAGGCUGAACCAGCCAAGUCGCGUGAGGGAAGACGGCCCUACGGGUUGUAAACCCCUUUUGUCGGGGAGCAAAGCGAACCACGUGUGGUUCAUUGAGAGUACCCGAAGAAAAAGCAUCGGCAAACACCGUGCCAGCAGCCGCGGUAAUACGGAGGAUGCGAGCGUUAGCCGGAUUUAUUGGGUUUAAAGGGGGGGCAGGCGGAGGUGUAAGUCAGCGGUAAAAUUGCGGGGCUCAACCCCGUACUGCCGUUGAAACUGCAUCACUUGAGUGCGCGAGAGGUAUGCGGAAUGCGUGGUGUAGCGGUGAAAUGCAUAGAUAUCACGCAGAACUCCGAUUGCGAAGGCGGCAUACCGGCGCGCAACUGACGCUCAUGCGCGAAAGCGUGGGUAUCGAACAGGAUUAGAUACCCGAGUAGUC